RNAcentral lists this transfer RNA (87 nucleotides) under Phycisphaerales bacterium. RNAcentral's name for it is "tRNA-Ser". It matches the Rfam family "tRNA". Rfam says of the family: Transfer RNA (tRNA) molecules are approximately 80 nucleotides in length. Their secondary structure includes four short double-helical elements and three loops (D, anti-codon, and T loops). Further hydrogen bonds mediate the characteristic L-shaped molecular structure. tRNAs have two regions of fundamental functional importance: the anti-codon, which is responsible for specific mRNA codon recognition, and the 3' end, to which the tRNAs corresponding amino acid is attached (by aminoacyl-tRNA synthetases). tRNAs cope with the degeneracy of the genetic code in two manners: having more than one tRNA (with a specific anti-codon) for a particular amino acid; and 'wobble' base-pairing, i.e. permitting non-standard base-pairing at the 3rd anti-codon position. The record is from RNAcentral. Lineage: Bacteria; Pseudomonadati; Planctomycetota; Phycisphaerae; Phycisphaerales.
GGACAGGUGUCCGAGUGGUCGAAGGAGCAGCAUUGGAAAUGCUGUAUACGGGUAACCGUAUCGAGAGUUCGAAUCUCUCCCUGUCCG